Molecule: unclassified non-coding RNA, 351 nt
Filed under: uncultured fungus
Lineage: Eukaryota; Fungi
Description: partial contains 5.8S ribosomal RNA and internal transcribed spacer 2
Rfam family: 5.8S ribosomal RNA (bases 1-133)
Source: RNAcentral
UGGCUCUCGCAUCGAUGAAGAACGCAGCGAAAUGCGAUAAGUAAUGUGAAUUGCAGAAUUCAGUGAAUCAUCGAAUCUUUGAACGCAACUUGCGCUCCUUGGUAUUCCUUGGAGCAUGCCUGUUUGAGUAUCAUGAAUUUCUCAAGUCCCCAGAGCUUUGGCACUGGUGGAUUUGGACUUGGAGGUUGCUGAUCAACAGCUCCUCUCAAAUGUAUUAGCUGGAACCUUGUGUGUAUUACCGGUGUGAUAAUAUCUACUCCGUUUGAUCACAAAGUGGGAUCUGCUUCUAACAGUCCAUUUGAUGGACAACUCAUGACAUCUGAUCUCAAAUCAGGUAGGACUACCCGCUGA